CUCAAAGUUUCUUAUCCUCGGUCUGGUAAACGGGAAACCUGAAGUAAACACUAGCAUGACAUCGAAUUUGCUGUACAUGGCCAUUUUAAUCACACUUUUCGAAUUUGAAACGAGCACCGCCUCGAGAACACCGCAGUCAACCGAAAUCAUGAACAACGUUCAAACACCGUUAAUUAUGACGCACAAAUUUCCCAACAUGGACAAUUCGGACGACAGAGAGGACAGAUUCUGCGAGAUAGAGUACCAAGUU
Molecule: long non-coding RNA, 250 nt
Organism: Dufourea novaeangliae
Lineage: Eukaryota; Metazoa; Arthropoda; Insecta; Hymenoptera; Halictidae
Exons: 3
Source: RefSeq, a predicted model, not a curated record